ACGGGUGAGUAACACGUGGGAACGUCCCCCUCGGUUCGGAAUAACUCAGGGAAACUUGAGCUAAUACCGGAUACGUCCGAGAGGAGAAAGAUUUAUCGCCGAGGGAUCGGCCCGCGUCUGAUUAGCUAGUUGGUGAGGUAAUGGCUCACCAAGGCGACGAUCAGUAGCUGGUCUGAGAGGAUGAUCAGCCACACUGGGACUGAGACACGGCCCAGACUCCUACGGGAGGCAGCAGUGGGGAAUAUUGGACAAUGGGCGCAAGCCUGAUCCAGCCAUGCCGCGUGAGUGAUGAAGGCCUUAGGGUUGUAAAGCUCUUUUGCCAGGGAAGAUAAUGACUGUACCUGGAGAAUAAGCCCCGGCUAACUUCGUGCCAGCAGCCGCGGUAAUACGAAGGGGGCUAGCGUUGUUCGGAAUCACUGGGCGUAAAGCGCACGUAGGCGGACUCUUAAGUCAGGGGUGAAAGCCUGAGGCUCAACCUCAGAACUGCCCUUGAUACUGGGAGUCUUGAGUAUGGUAGAGGUUGGUGGAACAGCAAGUGUAGAGGUGAAAUUCGUAGA
RNAcentral lists this ribosomal RNA (557 nucleotides) under uncultured bacterium. RNAcentral describes it as "bacterial SSU rRNA". It matches the Rfam family "Bacterial small subunit ribosomal RNA", at positions 102 to 694 of the family's 1533-position model. The record is from RNAcentral.